This 400-nucleotide ribosomal RNA is filed under the name uncultured bacterium. RNAcentral's name for it is "bacterial SSU rRNA". It matches the Rfam family "Bacterial small subunit ribosomal RNA", at positions 355 to 772 of the family's 1533-position model. The record is from RNAcentral.
UGGGGAAUAUUGGACAAUGGGCGAAAGCCUGAUCCAGCCAUGCCGCGUGAGUGAAGAAGGCCUUCGGGUUGUAAAGCUCUUUUAGCGGGGAAGAUAAUGACGGUACCCGCAGAAAAAGCACCGGCUAACUUCGUGCCAGCAGCCGCGGUAAUACGAAGGGUGCUAGCGUUGCUCGGAAUUACUGGGCGUAAAGCGUACGCAGGCGGGCUUUUAAGUCAGAUGUGAAAUCCCGGGGCUUAACCUCGGAACUGCAUUUGAAACUGGAAGCCUAGAGUAUGGGAGAGGAUAGCGGAAUUCCUAGUGUAGAGGUGAAAUUCGUAGAUAUUAGGAGGAACACCAGUGGCGAAGGCGGCUAUCUGGACCAUAACUGACGCUCAUGUACGAAAGCGUGGGGAGCAAA